This 260-nucleotide long non-coding RNA is filed under the name Phascolarctos cinereus (koala). RNAcentral describes it as "lncRNA (ENSPCIG00000032965.1)". The record is from RNAcentral. Lineage: Eukaryota; Metazoa; Chordata; Mammalia; Diprotodontia; Phascolarctidae.
GCUAAAGAGGUAAAGUCGGAUUGAAUCUCGGCGCUAUGUGCUGUGAGCGAAAGAAAUGAGUGGUGGAUUAGCACCACGUAUAAAAGCACUGUAUAUGUAUCCAACUUGCCUUUUUCUCUGACAAACAGUGACUUAUACAGGAUAUUUUCCAAAUAUGGAAAAGUUGUAAAGUAAGUAUCCAUUUUAACUUUUAAGUUUCUUAAACUGUUUUUUAUUGUUGUUUUUUAACAUGGUUUCAUUUCUAUUUAACACCUCAGCAC